UUUCCCACUCUUCCCGCCCUUCUCCGCACUCGUCCCGCCCCUUUUCCCGCCCUUUUCGCCCCCUCAGGGCAGGAAAGGCGUUUCCUAUCCCCUCGACCAGUCCUGAUCCCUUUCCCGCCCCGCACUGACGGGAUAUCCCUGCGCGGUCGGCGGGUGCGAGGCCGCUCCCAGAGUCGCGGUGCCGCAUCAGGCCCCGUGUCCCUCCGCCCGCCAUGGCGGCGGCGGCGGGCCCGGCGCGGCUGGUGCGGUGCGGGCAGAAGGACGAGCUGUACCGGGCCGCUCUGCGCAGUGGGGCCGGCACGGCGCUGCGGGGGCUGGCGGGUGCCCGGCCGUGGCUGGAGUGGAGGAGGGAGGUGGAGCUGCUCUCCGACGUGGCGUAUUUCGUGCUGACCACGUUGUCAGGUUAUCAGACCCUGGGAGAAGAGUAUGUGAACAUCAUUCAGGUUGACCCAAGCAAGAAGAAGGUGCCUUCUUUCCUUUCUCGGGCCCUCUUUAUUUCCCUGCACACCGUGGUACCCUACUGCCUGGAAAAGGCACUGCUGCACCUGGAACAUGAGCUGCAGAUGGAGGCUGAGGAAUCCAGGACCCCAGAAAACCCCCCAGCAAUUUGCUUUCCCAGGAGGACCUUAAUUCGCACCUGGAUUCAGAAGCAGGUUGGGGAGCUCACAGAGCAGCAGAAGAAAACAGCCUCCCAAGUUGUGUCUGUCCUUAAACAAUCUAUCCCUCUGCUGCACCGGCUCCACCUAGCAGUGUUCUACAUCCAGGGCACCUUCAAUCACAUGUCCAAAAGGAUCACAGGAAUCUCAUACCUGCAUUUUGGAGGACUGCAAGGAGAAGAUCAGAGUAUCCGAUCAGGUUACCGGUUUCUUGGAAUAAUUUCACUCUUCCACCUUCUGCUGACCGUUGGAGUUCAGAUGUACAGCUUCAAACAGAAGCAGAGAGCAAGGCAGGAGUGGAGGCUAUACCGCAACCUCACUCACCAGAAAAGCACAAGCAAGGAGGUGGCUGCCGGGCGCCAGUCACGCUGCACACUGUGCUUGGAGGAGCGGAGGCACAGCACAGCCACCCCCUGCGGGCACCUCUUCUGCUGGGAGUGCAUCACUGCCUGGUGCAACACUAGGGGCACCCAGAGCUGAUCAGCACCUCUAGAGUUGUUGAAAUACAAUGGCAGUUACAUAGGUGAGGUCAGUAAGGCAGAAUGUCCACUGUGCAGAGAGAAAUUCCACCCUCAGAAACUGAUUUACCUACGGCACUACCAAAUGUAAAGGGAACCUCUUCUGUCUCCUGACAAGGGCUCCAGCCCAUGUUCUUAUACUUGUCAUACAACUUGGGUUGGUCCAAGGAAAGGCUUUACUAAACUGGAAACUGCCUGUGCAAGGUGGUACUAUCUUCCCAUGUGACAGAGUAAAGCUAUUUGUGCUUCUACCCUUCUAUAUCUUCUGAUGCAGCUCUUGACCAUAUUAAAAAUGGGUUUCUAAAAUAUGCUUAA
RNA transcript from Poecile atricapillus (Black-capped chickadee), 1489 nucleotides. It is a transcript of the gene named peroxisomal biogenesis factor 10, with no coding region annotated. NCBI's taxonomy places the organism in Eukaryota, Metazoa, Chordata, Aves, Passeriformes, Paridae. The record is from RefSeq and is a predicted model, not a curated record. The transcript is spliced from 7 exons.